GCUCUGGGCACAUUCUCGACACCGGAGAACCCAGGCGAGCUCUGCGACCGAUGUGGCCGGAGUUGACCUAGGUGGGGUCCGAGUUCCAGUUGAAGGAAAGCCAGUGUCUAGCGGUUGCUGUGAGACAUCCUGUUUGAGAGUGAGUUACCACAAGAAAGCUUUGAACCUGCUCAGUCUUACCCCUGUUGCUCUGGGCACAUUCUCGACACCGGAAAACCCAGGCGAGCUCUGUGACCGAUGUGGCCGGAGUUGACCUAGGUGGGGUCCGAGUUCCAGUUGAAGGAAAGGCAGUGUCUAGCGGUUGCUGUGAGACAUCCUGUUUGAGAGUGUGUUACCACAAGAAAGCUUUGAACCUGCUCAGUCUUACCCCCGUUGCUCUGGGUGCAGCCUGGAUGCCAAAGAACCCAGGCGAGCUCUGCGACCAAUGUGGCCGGAGUUGACCUAGGUGGGGUCCGAGUUCCAGUUGAAGGAAAGGCAGUGUCUAGCGGUUGCUGUGAGACAUCCUGUUUGAGAGUGUGUUACCACAAGAAAGCUUUGAACCUGCUCAGUCUUACCCCUGUUGCUCUGGGUACAGCCUGGAUGCCAAAGAACCCAGGCGAGCUCUGCGACCGAUGUGGCCGGAGUUGACCUAGGUGGGGUUCGGCUUCCAGUUGAAGGAGAGGCGGUGUCUAGUGGUUGCUGCGAGACAUGCC
Molecule: long non-coding RNA, 692 nt
Organism: Ixodes scapularis (black-legged tick)
Lineage: Eukaryota; Metazoa; Arthropoda; Arachnida; Ixodida; Ixodidae
Exons: 5
Source: RefSeq, a predicted model, not a curated record